ACGAACGCUGGCGGCGUGCUUAACACAUGCCGGUCGAACGGAAAGGCCCUGCUUUUGUGGGGUGCUCGAGUGGCGAACGGGUGAGUAGCACGUGAGUAACCUGCCCUUGACUUUGGGAUAACUUCAGGAAACUGGGGCUAAUACCGGAUAGGAGCUCCUGCUGCAUGGUGGGGGUUGGAAAGUUUCGGCGGUUGGGGAUGGACUCGCGGCUUAUCAGCUUGUUGGUGGGGUAGUGGCUUACCAAGGCUUUGACGGGUAGCCGGCCUGAGAGGGUGACCGGCCACAUUGGGACUGAGAUACGGCCCAGACUCCUACGGGAGGCAGCAGUGGGGAAUAUUGCACAAUGGGCGGAAGCCUGAUGCAGCAACGCCGCGUGCGGGAUGACGGCCUUCGGGUUGUAAACCGCUUUCGCCUGUGACGAAGCGUGAGUGACGGUAAUGGGUAAAGAAGCACCGGCUAACUACGUG
RNAcentral lists this ribosomal RNA (467 nucleotides) under uncultured bacterium. Its description in RNAcentral is "partial 16S ribosomal RNA". It matches the Rfam family "Bacterial small subunit ribosomal RNA", at positions 29 to 507 of the family's 1533-position model. The record is from RNAcentral.